AGCAUACAAGGCAUACGGCUCAGUAACGCGUAGUCAACCUAACCUAUGGACGGGAAUAACCUCGGGAAACUGAGAAUAAUGCCCGAUAGAACAUUAUGGCUGGAAUGGUUUAUGUUCCAAAUGAUUUAUCGCCGUAGGAUGGGACUGCGGCCUAUCAGUUUGUUGGUGAGGUAAUGGCCCACCAAGACUAUUACAGGUACGGGCUCUGAGAGGAGUAGCCCGGAGAUGGGUACUGAGACACGGACCCAGGCCCUAUGGGGCGCAGCAGGCGAGAAAACUUUGCAAUGUGCGAAAGCACGACAAGGUUAAUCCGAGUGGUUUCUGCUAAAGAAACCUUUUGUCAGUCCUAGAAACACUGAUGAAUAAGGGGUGGGCAAGUUCUGGUGUCAGCCGCCGCGGUAAAACCAGCACCUCAAGUGGUCAGGAUGAUUAUUGGGCCUAAAGCAUCCGUAGCCGGCUCUGUAAGUUUUCGGUUAAAUCUGUACGCUCAACGUACAGGCUGCCGGGAAUACUGCAGAGCUAGGGAGUGGGAGAGGUAGACGGUACUCGGUAGGAAGGGGUAAAAUCCUUUGAUCUAUUGAUGACCACCUGUGGCGAAGGCGGUCUACCAGAACACGUCCGACGGUGAGGGAUGAAAGCUGGGGGAGCAAACCGGAUUAGAUACCCGGGUAGUCCCAGCUGUAAACUAUGCAAACUCAGUGAUGCAUUGGCUUGUGGCCAAUGCAGUGCUGCAGGGAAGCCGUUAAGUUUGCCGCCUGGGAAGUACGUACGCAAGUAUGAAACUUAAAGGAAUUGGCGGGGGAGCACCACAAGGGGUGAAGCCUGCGGUUCAAUUGGAGUCAACGCCGGA
Molecule: ribosomal RNA, 850 nt
Filed under: uncultured crenarchaeote
Lineage: Archaea; Thermoproteati; Thermoproteota
Description: bacterial SSU rRNA
Rfam family: Archaeal small subunit ribosomal RNA
Source: RNAcentral